RNAcentral lists this ribosomal RNA (425 nucleotides) under uncultured bacterium. RNAcentral describes it as "partial 16S ribosomal RNA". It matches the Rfam family "Bacterial small subunit ribosomal RNA", at positions 354 to 796 of the family's 1533-position model. The record is from RNAcentral.
GUGGGGAAUCUUGCGCAAUGGGCGCAAGCCUGAUCCAGCCAUGCCGCGUGAGUGAUGAAGGCCUUCGGGUUGUAAAGCUCUUUAGUCCACGAAUAUAAUGACUGUAGUGGAAGAAUAAGCCCCGGCUAACUUCGUGCCAGCAGCCGCGGUAAUACGAAGGGGGCGAGCGUUAUUCGGAAUCACUGGGCGUAAAGCGUGCGUAGGCUGUUUUGUAAGUCAGAAGUGAAAGCCCAGGGCUUAACCCUGGAAUUGCUUUUGAAACUACAAGACUCGAAUUCGGGAGAGGAUAGCGGAAUUGUCAGUGUAGCAGUGAAAUGCGUAGAUAUUGACAGGAACACCAGUGGCGCAAGCGGCUAUCUGGACCGAUAUUGACGCUAAGGCACGAAAGCGUGGGGAGCAAACAGGAUUAGAAACCCGGGUAGUCC